Molecule: ribosomal RNA, 447 nt
Filed under: uncultured bacterium
Lineage: Bacteria
Description: bacterial SSU rRNA
Rfam family: Bacterial small subunit ribosomal RNA
Source: RNAcentral
UCGGGAAUUUUGGGCAAUGGGCGAAAGCCUGACCCAGCAACGCCGCGUGAAGGAUGAAGUAUUUCGGUAUGUAAACUUCGUAAGAAUAGGAAGAAUAAAUGACGGUACUAUUUGUAAGGUCCGGCUAACUACGUGCCAGCAGCCGCGGUAAUACGUAGGGACCAAGCGUUGUUCGGAUUUACUGGGCGUAAAGGGCGCGUAGGCGGUGUGUCAAGUCAGUUGUGAAAUCUCCGAGCUUAACUCGGAACGGUCAACUGAUACUGUCACACUAGAGUACAGAAGGGGCAAUCGGAAUUCUUGGUGUAGCGGUGAAAUGCGUAGAUAUCAAGAGGAACACUUGAGGCGAAGGCGAGUUGCUAGGCUGACACUGACGCUGAGGUACGAAAGCUAGGGGAGCGAACGGGAUUAGAUACCCAAGUAGUCCCUGAGCGGGCUGGCAAGGCGCAU